CCUACGGGGGGCAGCAGUAGGGAAUAUUGCUCAAUGGGGGAAACCCUGAAGCAGCAACGCCGCGUGAAGGAUGACGGCUCUCGGGUUGUUAACCCCUUUUUAUAGAGGAGUUAAUGACGGCAUCUGUCGAAUAAGCACCGGCUAACUCCGAUCCAGCAGCCGCGGUAAAACGGAGGGUGCAAGCGUUAAUCGGAAUCAGUGGGCGUUAAGAGGGCGUAGGCGGGGUAGCAAGUACGAUGUGAAAUCCGAUGGCUUAACCAUAGAACUGCAUUUGAAACUGUUAUUCUAGAGUAUGGGAAGGGUAGGUGGAAUUCUUGGUGUAGGGGUAAAAUGCGUAGAGAUCAAGAGGAAUACUCAUUGCGAAGGCGACCUGCUAGAACAUAACUGACGCUGAUGCGCGAAAGCGUGGGGAGCAAACAGGAUUAGAUACCCCAGUAGUC
Molecule: ribosomal RNA, 440 nt
Filed under: uncultured bacterium
Lineage: Bacteria
Description: partial 16S ribosomal RNA
Rfam family: Bacterial small subunit ribosomal RNA
Source: RNAcentral